AAGAAAGUGGCAGAGUGGCCAUGUGGUUGAUUUGAAAUCAGUUUAUGGGGGUUCAAUUCCUCCCUUUCUCG
This 71-nucleotide transfer RNA is filed under the name Polynemus paradiseus (paradise threadfin). Its description in RNAcentral is "tRNA-Ser(UCN)". It matches the Rfam family "tRNA". Rfam says of the family: Transfer RNA (tRNA) molecules are approximately 80 nucleotides in length. Their secondary structure includes four short double-helical elements and three loops (D, anti-codon, and T loops). Further hydrogen bonds mediate the characteristic L-shaped molecular structure. tRNAs have two regions of fundamental functional importance: the anti-codon, which is responsible for specific mRNA codon recognition, and the 3' end, to which the tRNAs corresponding amino acid is attached (by aminoacyl-tRNA synthetases). tRNAs cope with the degeneracy of the genetic code in two manners: having more than one tRNA (with a specific anti-codon) for a particular amino acid; and 'wobble' base-pairing, i.e. permitting non-standard base-pairing at the 3rd anti-codon position. The record is from RNAcentral. Lineage: Eukaryota; Metazoa; Chordata; Actinopteri; Polynemidae.